CCCUACGGGGGGCUGCAGUAGGGAAUAUUGCACAAUGGGCGAAAGCCUGAUGCAGCAACGCCGCGUGUGCGAAGAAGGCCUUCGGGUCGUAAAGCACUUUUCUGGGAGAUGAGAAAGGACAGUAUCCCAGGAAUAAGUCUCGGCUAACUACGUGCCAGCAGCCGCGGUAAAACGUAGGAGGCGAGCGUUAUCCGGAUUCACUGGGCGUAAAGCGCGUGCAGGCGGUUUGGUAAGUUUGGCGGGAAAGCUCCCGGCUCAACGGGGAGAGGUCGUCCAAAACUACCAGACUAGAGAGCGAUAGAGGAAAAUGGAAUUCCCGGUGUAGUGGUGAAAUGCGUAGAUAUCGGGAGGAACACCAGUGGCGAAGGCGAUUUUCUGGAUCGUUUCUGACGCUCAGACGCGAAAGCUAGGGUAGCAAACGGGAUUAGAUACCCCUGUAGUCGAG
Molecule: ribosomal RNA, 445 nt
Filed under: uncultured bacterium
Lineage: Bacteria
Description: bacterial SSU rRNA
Rfam family: Bacterial small subunit ribosomal RNA
Source: RNAcentral